AAAAAGAUAAGCUAAAUUAAGCUAAUAGGCUCAUACCCUUUAUAUGAGAGUAUAAAGCUCUCUCUUUUUA
RNAcentral lists this transfer RNA (70 nucleotides) under Atrocalopteryx atrata. RNAcentral's name for it is "tRNA-Met". The record is from RNAcentral. Lineage: Eukaryota; Metazoa; Arthropoda; Insecta; Odonata; Calopterygidae.